AACCUAGCACACCUGCGGUGUGUACCUGCGGAAGGAUCAUUAACGAGUUACCACUCUAUAACCCUUUGUGAACAUACCUACAUGCUGCUUCGGCGGUCGGCCCCCCCGGGCCCCCGGCCCCGCUCACGCGGGGCGUCCGCCGGAGGAUAACCAAACUCUGAUUUAACGACGUUUCUUCUGAGUGGCACAAGCAAAUAAUCAAAACUUUCAGCAAUGGAUCU
RNAcentral lists this unclassified non-coding RNA (221 nucleotides) under soil metagenome. RNAcentral's name for it is "partial contains 5.8S ribosomal RNA, internal transcribed spacer 2, and large subunit ribosomal RNA". The record is from RNAcentral.